UGAUCCGCGGUUCUUCGCCAAAACGACCACCCUCAUAUUUUGGACUUCCUCUCCUUCACAUUCAAAAAGCCUGAACCUCAGCUUCUUCACCUUAAACACAAAGCAGCCAUAGCCACUGACCAAAAAUUAGAUCCCUUCCCCCUUAAGCCAGCGCCGUUUCCCCAUUCGUCUUCCUCAUUUCUUGCUGAACCAGAAACAGAACCUCUCUCUUUAGCAGGAAAGAGACAGCCGCACCCCCCCCUCCACCCACCAACAAAAGGCCUUCUUCUUCCUCCAUGAAAGUCUAGCCAUGAACACCCAGAAAAGGUCUCAAAUUACAGCUCCAAAAUACCUUUAAACCAGUCAAAAAACCUUAAACCAAUCCUCAUUUUCAGGGUCGAGUUCGUCGUGUGGUUAUGUUUCGAGUUGAGGUUUUCCGUUAGAGCUCCGACAAAAUUCCUGUUGGUAGAGUUCGGUUGUCGUUCAUUUUAGCCAUUGCUGUACGAAUAAUUGCUUGGAUUUUUUCUGAUAAUUAAAGUUUGGCAGAGGCAAGCUCAAAGGUUAUAUAUGACCAGAGAAGGUUAUGGAGUACUUUUGGGAUCAAAUAUGAAGAACAAGAGGCCGAUCGUAAAAUUUCGUCAAGUAAACCACGCAAAACAGCUCAAGUCAGAACUGAAAGAGGACUGCCGCGGUUCCACUGCGACCGCGGCAGAACCGCGGUAGAAGAUGGCUGCAGACAAAGUGAGAAUCAGAGAGCGUGUUUGGCCACGGUUUGACCGCGACCGCGGCAGAACCGUGGCAGAGGCGGAGAACUUCAGGGACUAAAGUGCAAAACACGGGAUUUUUAGCCCCAAACCCUAUUUUAAACAUUAGACUUUGCCCAAGAGAGACAUGUAUUGAUUUGGAGAGUAUUUUGGCAAGGAAAAACAAUUGUGAGAGAUCACCCAAAACAUCUUUCUUCUUUUCUUUGAUUUUUCUUGCAAGUUUUAUGAUGAA
Nicotiana tabacum (common tobacco) is the source of this 975-nucleotide non-coding RNA. Lineage: Eukaryota; Viridiplantae; Streptophyta; Magnoliopsida; Solanales; Solanaceae. The record is from RefSeq and is a predicted model, not a curated record.